UGGGUCGGUUGGAUGAUCGCGUCGCGCACGGUCCGCCGUGUCGCGCCGAGGAACGUCCGGGCUCCACAGGGCAGGGCGGUGGGUAACACCCACCCGGAGCGAUCCGCGAGACAGUGCCACAGAGAGAAGACCGCCGCCGGGCCGAGAGGCCGGGCGGUAAGGGUGAAAGGGUGGUGUAAGAGACCACCGGGGUCGCGGUGACGCGAUCCGCAGGGUAAACCUCGCCCGGAGCAAGGCCAGACAGGGGAUGUUGACGCGGCUCGCCGAGUCCCCGGGUAGGCCGCUGGAGCGGCACGGCAACGUGUCGCCGAGAGAGAUGAUCAUCGAAGGGGCUUCGGCCCCGGAACAGAACCCGGCGUACAGACCGGCCCAUUCG
This 376-nucleotide RNase P RNA is filed under the name Microbacterium sp. RU33B. Its description in RNAcentral is "Bacterial RNase P class A". It matches the Rfam family "Bacterial RNase P class A". From Rfam's summary of the family: Ribonuclease P (RNase P) is a ubiquitous endoribonuclease, found in archaea, bacteria and eukarya as well as chloroplasts and mitochondria. The record is from Rfam by way of RNAcentral. Lineage: Bacteria; Bacillati; Actinomycetota; Actinomycetes; Micrococcales; Microbacteriaceae.